UUUUCACAUUAACCAUUUCCAACCCACAAUGCCGCUCGAUUACCUGCCGAUCGUCUCACGGUGGGAUUCAGUCCUCGCUUCAUCUCUACCUUAAGAGAGCGAUGCCACGGCGCUUUAAUCCUUUAAGUCUGUCCAACUGUCUCUCCUCAGCAUCUGUACACUCUGUGCAAACAGAUCAGCGCACAGAGCUUCAUCUAUGAGCGCCAUCGAUCCCGUCGUUUCGUCGAUCAGUAAUUAUUCGAGCCGAGUCUCUGGUGUAGUUGCAUUCGGGAACUUUGAGUCCAACGUUCGUCUCCGUGAACUUCACUGGAAAAUGGUGAGUAAGAAAAUGAGCUGUUUUUUUGUUUUUGUUUUGUUUUAAGGAGCUAAGAGCAAAACCUGACGAACAUCCUGUUACAUGUUUGAGUUUCUUUUCUUUUUUUUCUCUUCCCCUUCUCCUUUGUAACCGAACUAGCAGUGACAUCAGCGCAGCAGACAACCACUGACAGCAUUAACAAAAAUACACCAUCAAGCACCUGAAUCUUUCUAAGUAUUUUAACAUAAACAUGUUGAACGUGUUUCAAAGCGGUGUUUCCUUUUUACGUCUCGCAUGAUUUUUAACGUCCGGGAGAGUGACGACUGUUUACCCGAGCGCUCCAGUGGUUUUAUUAUAAAGCACGCAGAAGUUCACGUCACACGCCCGUAUCCACCGAGUCAGUCUGACACUCGUCUUGUGAAGGAUCUUGGGGGGGAGGAAGCAGAUGUUUUAUGGCUGCACACAAUGUCUUUUAGUUGAACGGUGGAUCGGAUUGUAACGUCUCGCCGCAGUCUCUCGGGCAUGUUCGGUCCUGUUUCGCCGGGUGUGUUGGUGAGAUCGAGAGCAGCAGGUGACAUGAAAAUAAUAAAAAAGCAAAGCUCAACACAACUCAAGCUACUGGAAAAUUUUUUUUUUUUUUAAAUUUUGGUGGAGCUGACCUGUUUUCUUUUUGCUUGUGUUUUUUUUUUAUUAUUAUUAUUUAUUUUUUUGUUGUUUUUGUUUUUUCUUUAAACUCCUGUAACUCUCUUGUCUUCAGAACAUGUUUAACUGUGCUACCACAGCCUGAGCUUCAUCUGUCCACUUCAACAUUAAAAAUAAAAUAAACAAAAAACAAUAAAAAAAAAGUUCACGAGGGAAUAACUAUAGCGUGAGCAGGGCAUUUUGUUACAGCGACAUGUUAUUUAACCAUAAUGGCUGAGUGUAACCCUGAUUAUCUCAUUAAUAAUAUAUGGAGAACGGUAUUCAAACGCCCAGAAAGAUUGAUUUACCUUUCGCUAAGUGUAAGUCGUGUAGUGAUUUGAAUCUUCACUUAAACACUUUAUGUUGGGGAUGGGGGGGGGGGUAAUGCACUGUUAGCAUGCAUUGGGGUUUUCUGUUUUUUUUGCUUUUUGUUUUCCAUCGUGUAAUUUUGACCUUGUACAUACAAUUUGUAAACUUGCAUCAAGUUUAUGAAUAAAGAAUUUUAAGAAAUAUCACUUUUUUUUCUUCUUCUUUUUUUUUCCUUUUUUUCCCCCCCUUUCUAGGUAUUGCAUUUUAUUUGUCCACUAGAUGGCAGUAGGGUCUCAUUUAAAAGCACGCUGGUUUGAAACACACAUUAGGUGCUUGUCAUUGCGCCUCAUUGUUUACUUUCCUCGUGCCCGAGCUCUCCUUCGGAGGAAGCGAGAAUAGGAUGCAAGAGAAUGAAAUGAGGAUGGCAGGAAUUGAACAAAUUUACUAAAUAAGAUGUUCUUGCUCACUGACGCGUCGCUUUAAACCAAUUUUAUUGGAUUUGUAGCUGAAUCAUGCAUCUGCGUAUACAUGACAGUAAUUAGGCACAGUAGAAUCUUUAAUUAAAAGAAUAUUUCAUGUCUACAUCGCAUGCGUAAAUGUUGCUGUUUUAGCCUAAAUGAGAUCUUGCUCAUUACCCUGAUGUCCGUUUUUUGGCAUAUUAAACUGACUUUUAUUUGUACACUUUGUUUGUUUGGUUUGUUUGUUUAAUUAAGACUAUUUAUUUUCUGGUUUUGGUUUCUGUUAUCGU
This is a long non-coding RNA of Ictalurus punctatus (channel catfish), 2033 nucleotides long. NCBI's taxonomy places the organism in Eukaryota, Metazoa, Chordata, Actinopteri, Siluriformes, Ictaluridae. The record is from Ensembl.